RNAcentral lists this ribosomal RNA (460 nucleotides) under uncultured bacterium. RNAcentral describes it as "partial 16S ribosomal RNA". It matches the Rfam family "Bacterial small subunit ribosomal RNA", at positions 338 to 795 of the family's 1533-position model. The record is from RNAcentral.
CCUACGGGAGGCAGCAGUGAGGAAUAUUGGUCAAUGGCCGUAAGGCUGAACCAGCCAAGUCGCGUGAAGGAAGACGGAUCUAUGGUUUAUCAACUUCUUUUAUAGGGGAAUAAAGGUAUCCACGUGUGGAUAUUUGCAUAUACCCUAUGAAUAAGCAUCGGCUAACUCCGUGCCCGCAGCCGCGGUAAUACGGAGGAUGCGAGCAUUAUCCGGAUUUCUUGGGUUUAAAGGGUGCGUAGGUUGUUUUUUAAGUCAGCGGUGAAAGUUUGUGGCUCAACCAUAACAUUGCCGUUGAAACUGGAAGACUUGAGUGUGUUUGAGGUAGGCGGAAUGCGUGGUGUAGCGGUGAAAUGCAUAGAUAUCACGCAGAACUCCGAUUGCGAAGGCAGCUUACUAAGCCAUAACUGACACUGAAGCACGAAAGCGUGGGGAUCAAACAGGAUUAGAUACCCUAGUAGUC